UUAAGAAUUUAUUGACAUAUUAACAGUUUGUGAACAGGCUUUAUCAACACAUUCUGGCACAACUGGCCCUUUAAGAGCUUUCAUAAUCUUGAUUUGGCCCAAAACAAAAAUAAGUUUGACACACCUGUACUAAGUAAUACACACUUUUCAGUUUAUUUGCAAAAAAAUCUGUCAUAUUUUUAAGCCUCCCUGGUAGAGUCUAUUCUGGAGUCCUGGAAAGGAGGGUCAUCAAGAUACUGGAGAAUGCAUGGGAGUUCGUCCAAACAAUCUACAUGUGUUUAUGGACUUUGAGAAGGCAUUUCACAGGGUCCCUCUGGGAACUUUGUGGGAGUUCUCAUGGAGUAUGGUGUCCAAGUCCUUUGAUACGGGCUGUAAGGUUUCUGUGCAACCUUACAGAAACGUGGUCUGCAUUAUUGGCAGUAAGUCAAGCUCAUUUCUGCUUAGAGUUGGAUUUUGCCGAGGAAACGAGCUUGACUCUGCUGGCAAUGCACACCAGUCUCUGACACUGGUGUCAUAUGGGGACCUAACAGCCUGUAUCAAAGGACCCGGGACCCCAUACUCCCAGAGAACCCACCCCUUGCUCCCCGAAGGAAACAGUCGAACUUCUUCUCCAAGUCCACAAAACAUCUGUAGACCCAACACCUGCAUGGGAGUUAGGUGAACUCCCAUGCACCCUCCAGGACCCUGCUCAGGCUAUAGAGCUGGUCCAAUGUUAGAUGACCAGGGCAAAAACCACACUGCUCUUCUCGAAUCCGACUUUCGGCUAUCUGAUGGACCGUCCUCUCCAUGAACCCCAAAUAGACCUUGCGAGGGAGACAUCACACCCCCCGGUCCUCCUUUUUGAACAAAGGCUGGGAACACUGAAUCAAACAGUCUCACUUAAUCAUAAGGGUUCUACGUCAUGGGUCUUUCAUAUUACAUUUGGAUGAAAUAUAUUUGUGGUUGCAAUGUAACAAUAUGGAACAGUUCAAGGGGUAUGAUUACUUUGUAAGCACUGUAAAUCUUAACCCUGAAAUCAUGACAUGAAAUUCUUUUUGGAGAAAAUGUUGGAAUCUCUAGUCGUUUUUAAUGUCAUUUCAUUUGACUGUUUGCUUUUAUAAUUAUGAUAGCGUGGAUCGUUUUCUUGAUCAUUGUUGCAGUGGAUUUCAUAUGUAUUUAUUCAUUGUACACAUUUCUGAAUUAUGGUGUAUGCUUGUGGAUUUUGUUGUCGGCAUAAGAGAUUCUUGUACACUUAGUGAAUCUUUUCAAAACUUAUUUACUUCUGUAGAAGAGGCUUCAUAAACAGGUUUUGUACUUGCACAUGAAACUGUUUGAGCUUUGUGAAUACGAAAGUGGCUGAUCUUGAAACACUUAUCGGUUCACUGUCAGAGUAGUUGCUGGAAAUGUUGCACCAGGGAGCAGUAGAUAAGACAAUCAGUUACUAUAUGUAUAUUCUGUUCUAUUUGAAAUUAAAAUGAUUUGAAAUGGGGACCAUAAAGUUUUCGUAAUUUUUCUAAUACAGUUAACAUCAAUUUUUCCCUUCAAAUAUGCCUAAAUUUUUUGCGGAACUACGUUUUUAUUCUUCACCGUUUGCGUCACUUAAUUAAAGCUCUCCUUGUUUCAAUCUCUCCUCAGUCACACUGAACUUUUUAAUGCUGCAGCCCCCCAGUGGCUACAUUAUCUUCACUUCACAAGCAGGACAAAAGUUUGGCUCACUUUUGUCCUGUUGGACUCCCUCCAUCUGGUCAGAAUUUGUUUGGUUUUGGUGGAAUUAACCCUUUGUUCUCCCAGUUUUAGUCUGUUCUUGCAGGGUUUUCCACGUAAAACGAUCCUUGGAGGCUGCCAAGAAGACAGAGAGGAAACAAGACCUUGAGUCCAGGAAAUCCUCACCUACUUCAUGGACUUGGGCCUCAUACAAUCUGAGGAGAUGGAGUUCUUGUUUCUUUGAAUGUUCCAGGUGGGACAAUCUGACCAGGUAAGUACAUAACAAAUGAAGGCUAAUUUAUUUGCCAAUUUGGUUUAUUUUAAGUUGAGAUUGAUAACGUUGUAUAUCUAGGUUUGAUAGGAGGAAUCCAGUGGAUGUAUGACCUUUUUUCUUGGGUCAUAUUGAGUCUGUGAUGUCACAUAGACUGGAUCCCAAAUGAAAGCUUUGGAGCAGCGGUUGUUUUUUCUUCUUUUUUUU
Poeciliopsis prolifica (blackstripe livebearer) is the source of this 2161-nucleotide long non-coding RNA. RefSeq lists it as uncharacterized. The record is from RefSeq and is a predicted model, not a curated record. The transcript has 3 exons. NCBI's taxonomy places the organism in Eukaryota, Metazoa, Chordata, Actinopteri, Cyprinodontiformes, Poeciliidae.